Molecule: transfer RNA, 87 nt
Filed under: Salmo salar (Atlantic salmon)
Lineage: Eukaryota; Metazoa; Chordata; Actinopteri; Salmoniformes; Salmonidae
Also listed under: 1 other name
Rfam family: tRNA
About the family: Transfer RNA (tRNA) molecules are approximately 80 nucleotides in length.
Source: Rfam by way of RNAcentral
CCUUCGAUAGCUCAGUUGGUAGUGCAGAGGACUGUAGGUAUAAAAGCAGAGAUUCUUAAGUUGCUAGUUCAAAUCUGUCUCGAAAGA